AACGGCCGUACCAUGCUGAAUAUACCGGUUCUCGUUAGAUCACCGAAGUUAAGCAUCAUUGGGCGCGGUCAGUACUUGGGUGGGUGACCACCUGGGAACACUU
Molecule: ribosomal RNA, 103 nt
Filed under: Caerostris darwini
Lineage: Eukaryota; Metazoa; Arthropoda; Arachnida; Araneae; Araneidae
Source: RNAcentral